RNAcentral lists this ribosomal RNA (253 nucleotides) under uncultured bacterium. Its description in RNAcentral is "partial 16S ribosomal RNA". It matches the Rfam family "Bacterial small subunit ribosomal RNA", at positions 524 to 776 of the family's 1533-position model. The record is from RNAcentral.
UACGUAGGGGGCGAGCGUUGUCCGGAAUCAUUGGGCGUAAAGCGCGUGUAGGCGGCCCGGUAAGUCCGCUGUGAAAGUCCAGGGCUCAACCCUGGGAUGCCGGUGGAUACUGUCGGGCUCGAGUCCGGAAGAGGCGAGUGGAAUUCCUGGUGUAGCGGUGAAAUGCGCAGAUAUCAGGAGGAACACCUAUUGCGAAGGCAGCUCGCUGGGACGUUACUGACGCUGAGACGCGAAAGCGUGGGGAGCAAACAGG